RNA transcript from Mauremys reevesii (Reeves's turtle), 1651 nucleotides. It is a transcript of the gene named harakiri, BCL2 interacting protein, with no coding region annotated. The transcript is spliced from 4 exons. NCBI's taxonomy places the organism in Eukaryota, Metazoa, Chordata, Testudines, Geoemydidae. The record is from RefSeq and is a predicted model, not a curated record.
CUGUGACGAGCAGUAAUUUGCAAGCUCUGUAGAGUGUUUGUUUUUGAACAAAAUAUGUAUCGGCCCCACCCCCUGUACAUCUACAGAGAAACUCUUCAGUGGUAAACUCCUUAUACACACAAGCAAAUUCAAAAAGCCCUGAUGCAAGUGGAUGCAUCUCCCCUGGAACUCAAUGGAAGUCUCACUCACUUAUGCCAGGGCUCAGUAAGGCCUUUGGUUUCGCACUAGCUCACUGCUGCAUCAGGCUGGAAUCCCAGUGCUUUACAAGAUAAGUAAAGAGCCAGCUUCUUCCGUGACUUCAUCAGUACUAGAACUGAGUACCCAGCUCUGGCUUGAUUCCAUAUCUCUGAAUAAAGACAAGCCAAAGAAGUGCUGAAUAAGGGCUGGAGAAAACCCUGCACCCUUGGAGAAAAUCAUUUCCCCUUUUCCUGCAGGGAGUACAGAGUCUGAGCAGCAGCUGUGAUGAAUGGAGAAAGAAGAGGAGGAGGAUGAAAGAGGCUGGAGCAACGUGAAAGAAGAUUUGUACUGAAGGAGCUGUUCAAGUGCCCAGCAGCAAAACAGAGACACAUACAUGCUUAUAUAGAGAGCAUACGUUAAUACAUGCAUGCCUUGUUGAGAGCGUAAGCAACAUUCCUUUUAGAUAACUGUGGUCUGAGCACUUGUGCUCCUGCAGUUUGAGUCAAAAGAUUAGUGAUGUCCUUGCUGUAGUGCUAACACUUUCCUCACCAGGCAUUGUCUAUGGUAUGGCACACAUCUGCCCCUUUAAGUGUAGAAGUGUGAACAAUCACUUGCAAACCCAGGGCUAAAUAAUACCUGCGGAUAGUGCAUUUGCUGCAAAUAGGCAUCGGUUUGUCUUGGGAGGUGUGGGAAAGGGGUGUUCAGCAGUUUUGACAAGAGACAGUUUGUGUGUGUAUAUAUAUUAAGCUCUAUGACAUCAGGCGAGAUAUGCUUUUCUUACCACUGUACUUUCUCUGGUGCUACAUUUAAUGUUUGUCUAGGGCUAAACUGUCUCUUUGUGGUGCUACAGUUUUACCAGGAUGAUGUUCUGAAACAUGAGCCUGGGAGAAAUAUAUUUUGGUUAUUAAUAUUUAUACACAAAAACUAGGUUGAGAAGGUGCUAUUUUCCUUUCGUUCUACCUGUAAAUAAAUUAGCAAGCAAGCAAACAAAACACACCAGCCAAUCUAACCCUGAACUUUAUAAAACAACUCAACUUUGGGGCAGCUCAUCUCUUGCUUUGCUGGAAUGUACCACGUGAUAUGAUAGCAGUUGUGCAGAACAGGAGAUUGUUUUCAGCCCUAGAUAUUCAAAAAAGGUGGAAGGAUUUGGCCCAAUAAUCAGCUAUGUUAGAGCUUUGUGGUGGGGAGCUGGUAGGGAUGCAUGCCUAAGUCCUUGCUACUCUCUGAAACCAUAGGGGUUUAAAGAGCUACAAAAUCCUCAGAGCAGUUUCUAAGGCCACGGGGCAAUAACAGCCAUUCCUACUAGUACAGCAUCAGCUGAUGUUCCUUUGUAAACCAUUAAUUUCAGAAGUCUCAUAAAAACAGUGAUAAAAAUGGCUCUGGGCUGGAAGUUUAGCAACCAAGUCUGAUCCGACUGGUCAUUGUUCUCACUAAAUAUUUUUAAAAGACUGGGUCCGAUACAUCCAUAUUAAAC